GUGCAAUGAUGUAUUUUAUUCAACACAUCAUUCUGAAAGAAUAUGUGUGGAAAACUAAUGACUGAGCACA
Molecule: small nucleolar RNA, 70 nt
Organism: Callithrix jacchus (white-tufted-ear marmoset)
Lineage: Eukaryota; Metazoa; Chordata; Mammalia; Primates; Cebidae
Gene: SNORD63
Rfam family: Small nucleolar RNA SNORD63
About the family: snoRNA U63 is found in both humans and mice. U63 is a member of the C/D class of snoRNA which contain C (UGAUGA) and D (CUGA) box motifs. Most of the members of the box C/D family function in directing site-specific 2'-O-methylation of substrate RNAs.
Source: Ensembl